Molecule: long non-coding RNA, 232 nt
Filed under: Vigna radiata
Lineage: Eukaryota; Viridiplantae; Streptophyta; Magnoliopsida; Fabales; Fabaceae
Description: long non-coding RNA (VRAD_LNC010925)
Source: RNAcentral
AACAAAACAAGUAACCCCAGAUUCAUAAAAGAUCAAAGUUAUAGUUUUUCUAACAGAGCUAGCACUUAAUCUAUACCUGAAAAGAUAUAUGGUUGUCCUGGGGAUCUAAGUGUUGAGCAUCGGAAGGCAAUCUCUGAUCUUCUUCCUUGGACUGCACCAANUGGAUACCGACUCCAUAGUUGAACAACCAUGCACCCUCAAAGUCCAAAGCUUGGGGCCUCUCAGUCUGAAC